GGCUACGUCACACGUGUGCGACAGCACCUGCUCCGGACGUCAGGCUCUCUAAGGACAACGGGGUUCUUCCUUGUGAGGUUGAGGCGCCCGAGAGGCGAUCGGAGGUCGGAGCCGAUUCAUUCCUGCUUGACUUUGGGUCGGUGCCUCGUGAGCGAGCUCAUUUCCCGGGGUUGCGGGUCCUUGCCUGGAGACACGCGAGUUGGAGAGCGCGUGCGCGGGUCGUUCCCUUCCCGUGCUGCCCGCGUCCGCAUCGUCCGGACCCGGUUGUCUCUAGUAUGUGGAAAGGCUCGGGCUGGGAACUUCGAGGGAGGAGUUACCCCCUCGAGAUCCGGAGGACCAGAGCGGAGAGCAGGGCUACUGAGACCCUACAGGAUGUGACUCCGAAGAUCUCGUGCUGGACACGAGUGGCUACCGAGCCCGGAGAGCUUUGCGCUUCCUCCUCCUGCUCCCUUUCCAGAGAAGGAGUCUUUUCAGUCGGGGGAGCUUAUUAAAGCUCUGGCGGGAAAGAGAGAAUCACAAUUAAAGAAAUUAUUCCUACUCUGCAAGGUCGGACACUUUAAUAGUAGUAACUGGGGAGCGAUUGCGUUCAGGGAGAUCGAGGACAAGUAUCCUGGCCAGAUCCUGACAUGUUCUCCCGGUUGGAAAAUUGAAAGUGUAAUGUUAACAGUAAAGUUUGACCUUUUAAGCUAGUGGAGGAAGUUCAGACCACAGCUGACCUGGUACCUUAGAUGACAGCACUGAAUCUGAAGACAAAGAAGUAUCAACUUAGAACUGACUAUUAUUAGUCACUACUUCAGAAAGUAUUUUUACCUUAUUUUGGUAUGUUUAGUUAGUACUAUGAUUUGUAUGACUUUUCCAUGUGUUUGAAAAGUAACAGAAGCUAAAGGCCAUUGUACAACUUGGUAGCAGUCCCGUUUUACGUUGCAUUUGGUUUGCCAUUCUGUAGCUGUGACUCCAGCUUGCUUUAGUUGAGCCUUGUCAUUCUUCACUCUCUGCAAACCAUUCCACGGAUUUGUUUUCCUUCACAAAAGUAGUUUCAUUUUCUUUAUUUGAUUGAUGGUCAUUGGCUACUGAAAUAAAAUAUGCAUUUUAAGGUAAAUUGUAUGUAUUUAAGAUAAAACUUUGUGUAUUUUAAAAUACUUUUUUACUGUUCUUUUUUCUUUAUCUUUGUUUUUUCUUUCUUUCUUGAGAUAGAAGUGGUAAGCCUGCCUUUGACCCCAGUGUUGGGGAGGAAGCAGCAGAAUGAUCGGGGUACACGAGGCCCUAUCUCAUAAAACAACAAAAAGAUUGAGAUAGUAUCUUACUGUAUAGCCCAGGCUAGUCUUGAAUUCUUGAUAUUCCUGCCUCAGCUUCCUAAGUGCUAGACUUACAGGCAUUCAUCACUGCCUGAACCUAGUACAUAUUUUAAUUUCUUAUGUGGAACUUUAAAAAAUAAGGAGCCAGACUUAGUGGAGCACACCUUU
Molecule: non-coding RNA, 1463 nt
Organism: Mus caroli (Ryukyu mouse)
Lineage: Eukaryota; Metazoa; Chordata; Mammalia; Rodentia; Muridae
Source: RefSeq, a predicted model, not a curated record